Molecule: ribosomal RNA, 508 nt
Filed under: uncultured bacterium
Lineage: Bacteria
Description: partial 16S ribosomal RNA
Rfam family: Bacterial small subunit ribosomal RNA
Source: RNAcentral
AUUGAACGCUGGCGGCAUGCCUUACACAUGCAAGUCGAACGGCAGCGGGGGAGAAGCUUGCUUUUCCUGCCGGCGAGUGGCGAACGGGUGAGUAAUACAUCGGAACGUGCCCUGUAGUGGGGGAUAACUAGUCGAAAGAUUAGCUAAUACCGCAUACGACCUGAGGGUGAAAGUGGGGGACCGCAAGGCCUCAUGCUAUAGGAGCGGCCGAUGUCUGAUUAGCUAGUUGGUGGGGUAAAGGCCCACCAAGGCGACGAUCAGUAGCUGGUCUGAGAGGACGAUCAGCCACACUGGGACUGAGACACGGCCCAGACUCCUACGGGAGGCAGCAGUGGGGAAUUUUGGACAAUGGGCGAAAGCCUGAUCCAGCAAUGUCGCGUGUGUGAAGAAGGCCUUCGGGUUGUAAAGCACUUUUGUCCGGAAAGAAAUGGCUCUGGUUAAUACCUGGGGUCGAUGACGGUACCGGAAGAAUAAGGACCGGCUAACUACGUGCCAGCAGCCGCGGUAA